RNAcentral lists this ribosomal RNA (466 nucleotides) under uncultured bacterium. Its description in RNAcentral is "partial 16S ribosomal RNA". It matches the Rfam family "Bacterial small subunit ribosomal RNA", at positions 28 to 507 of the family's 1533-position model. The record is from RNAcentral.
GACGAACGCUGGCGGCGCGCCUAACACAUGCAAGUCGAACGAGCGAGAGGAGGUUUACUUUCUCAAGCGAGUGGCGAACGGGUGAGUAACGCGUGAGGAACCUGCCUCAAAGAGGGGGACAACAGUUGGAAACGACUGCUAAUACCGCAUAAGCCCACGACCCGGCAUCGGGUAGAGGGAAAAGGAGCAAUCCGCUUUGAGAUGGCCUCGCGUCCGAUUAGCUAGUUGGUGAGGUAAUGGCCCACCAAGGCGACGAUCGGUAGCCGGACUGAGAGGUUGAACGGCCACAUUGGGACUGAGACACGGCCCAGACUCCUACGGGAGGCAGCAGUGGGGAAUAUUGCACAAUGGGGGAAACCCUGAUGCAGCGACGCCGCGUGGAGGAAGAAGGUCUUCGGAUUGUAAACUCCUGUUGUUGAGGAAGAUAAUGACGGUACUCAACAAGGAGGUGACGGCUAACUACGUG